UACCGGAGUGAGGGGCCUCUGGGUCCACCUCCCACCCGUGUCUAUCGUACCUUGUUGCUUCGGCGGGCCCGCCGUUUCGACGGCCGCCGGGGAGGCCUUGCGCCCCCGGGCCCGCGCCCGCCGAAGACCCCAACAUGAACGCUGUUCUGAAAGUAUGCAGUCUGAGUUGAUUAUCGUAAUCAGUUAAAACUUUCAACAACGGAUCUCUUGGUUCCGGCAUCGAUGAAGAACGCAGCGAAAUGCGAUAAGUAAUGUGAAUUGCAGAAUUCAGUGAAUCAUCGAGUCUUUGAACGCACAUUGCGCCCCCUGGUAUUCCGGGGGGCAUGCCUGUCCGAGCGUCAUUGCUGCCCUCAAGCACGGCUUGUGUGUUGGGCCCCCGUCCCCCUCUCCCGGGGGACGGGCCCGAAAGGCAGCGGCGGCACCGCGUCCGGUCCUCGAGCGUAUGGGGCUUUGUCACCUGCUCUGUAGGCCCGGCCGGCGCCAGCCGACACCCAACUUUAUUUUUCUAAGGUUGACCUCGGAUCAGGUAGGGAUACCCGCUGAACUUAAGCAUAUCAAUAAGCGGAGGAACUAAGGUGACCUCGGAUCAGGGUAGGGAACCAAAAUA
Molecule: ribosomal RNA, 607 nt
Filed under: Aspergillus sp. DoF23
Lineage: Eukaryota; Fungi; Ascomycota; Eurotiomycetes; Eurotiales; Aspergillaceae
Also listed under: 1 other name
Description: eukaryotic LSU rRNA
Rfam family: 5.8S ribosomal RNA (bases 188-341)
Source: RNAcentral